Molecule: long non-coding RNA, 573 nt
Filed under: Heterocephalus glaber (naked mole-rat)
Lineage: Eukaryota; Metazoa; Chordata; Mammalia; Rodentia; Bathyergidae
Description: lncRNA (ENSHGLG00100038544.1)
Source: RNAcentral
GGGGAAGCUCGCCAGUGGGUGGAAGCCUAAUUCUUCUUGAAUGGGUGCAUCACUCUUUCAUUUUAUUUUGCUUUGGUUUUUGCUGCCACCAUUGCCCUUGAAAAUCAGAUUCUAGAUUCUCCAGGCUCUGAACAAGGACUCACACCAGAGACUCCUGGGAACGCUCUAGGGCUUCAGCCUCGGACUGUGACUACACCGGUGGUGGUGGUCCUUCUCAUCGUUCUAAGGCUCUGCCUUCUUGGGACUAAUCAGCUCCUGGUUCUCCAGCUCUCCAGCUUGCAAAUGCUACUUGGGGACUCUCUGGCCUCUGAGUUCGUGAGGCGAUCAGGUGGAUUCCCUCCAGUGAGUGCCUUGAUGUCCGUCAACCACCUGCCCCAAGAAGAUGCUUCCAAUUUCCUGCCUGGAAGGUGCACACCUGGGAGCCAAAGGGAAAGGAGUUUAGGGAUUUCAGCAUUCAUCACCUAAACAUCUGCUGGUUUUUAGUGCAGAAGCCGCUCUGCUCUCCAGGCAAUAAACCUCCAGUGUUCUGCUGGGGUAGAGGAGAGAUUGUCACCCAGGAGAGGAGGUCGGAGG